Molecule: long non-coding RNA, 1668 nt
Organism: Gadus macrocephalus (Pacific cod)
Lineage: Eukaryota; Metazoa; Chordata; Actinopteri; Gadiformes; Gadidae
Exons: 3
Source: RefSeq, a predicted model, not a curated record
AAAAAACCCGGGCCAAGUAGAGAGAGUAGGCCUACGCGGCGUAUUUCAGCAGACACCUCCGAAUCAUCAGGAGAUGAAUUCAGCGAACCUGACCCGGAUUCGUCAGAUGAGUGGUUGCCGUCAACCGGGAACAGCAGAGCCUCAUCCCCUGACGCGUCUCCAGGAAGACGUGAGGGAGGUAAGAGCUAACUUUACCCUUCUCUCCUCCUUCAGUCCGUCACAUGAACGCCAUUUAGUCCCAUUAGUUCAUUACUGCAGCUAAUAUGUGUUGCCAGUAGCCUACUGAUGUGAAGGGAUUUACAAUUUACAGAUCGUGCGUCCAGCAGAGCUCGCACUCCCACUCCCACUGUUAGCUUCAGUCCAUGUCCCAUUGAACGCCAUUUAGUCCCACUAGUUCAUAUUGUAACAUCUGUUGCCAGCCUACUGAUGUGAAGCAAUUUUCAAUUUACAGAUCAUGCAUCCAGCAGAGCUCCCAAUCCUGUUGGCAAAGCGAAGAAGAAAGGUCGUGCAUCCAGCAGAGUUCCGACUCCUAUUUGCAAAGCGAAAAAGAAAGGUCGUGCAUCAAGCAGAGGAUGCGGGUAUGACUGGCAUCAAGCUGGCUGGCAACUAAACAAUUUCCCCUUCACUGCAACCCCUGGACCCCGGAGGGCUGCUGCGGAGCUGGAUAGCGACCUGCCAGCUGACUUCCUGACGCUCUUCUUGACUGACGAGCUGCUCCAAAAUAUUGUGGAUCAGACCAACCUAUAUAUCAAUAUUUUGAAGCACACCCUGACAAUCUGCCAUAUAGCAGAGGAAAUGCAUGGAAACCAGUGUCAGUCCCAGAAUUGAAAACUUUCUUUGGACUCAGUUUUCUCAUUGGUUAUAUCAAAAAGCCUAGCCUUGAACUGUACUGGAGUGUUGAUGAGGUAGAUGCCACGCCCCAUUUCGGCAAGACUAUGCCAAGGAACAGAUUUCAGAUUAUAUGGAGGUUCCUUCAUUUCAACAAUAAUGCAUCACAGGAUGCAACUGACAAAAUGUACAAAGUCCGCCCAGUGUUAGAUUACAUUGUGGAAAAGUUCAAGGAGAUGUAUCAACCAGGCCAAAACAUUUGCAUUGAUGAGGGUAUGAUGCAGUGGCGGGGGAGCCUGUCUUUCAGGGUGUAUAACCCACAAAAGCCUGUGAAAUAUGGAAUCAAAUCCUACAUACUGUGUGACUCUGCCACAGGGUACUGCUUCAAUAUGCGUCCGUAUGUUGGGGAAGCUAGUACUCUGCCAGAGAUAGUGUUGUUUCUCCUUGAUCGUCUACCAGGUCAUGGCUACACAUUGUUCAUGGAUAACUUCUACAAUUCUGUAGCACUGUGUGAACGUUUACUGGGAGUGCAAACCAACGUCUGUGGAACACUGAGGAAACAUAGGGGGGAACCUCAGAUCAUCAGCGAGAUGACAAAGACUGACUUGGGGGUGGGGGAAAAAGUUGUGCGGCACAAUGAGAGGGUGAUGGUAGUAGCAUGGCAGGACAAACGGUUGGUGAGGAUGGUGACUACCUGCCACCAAGAUAGCAUGCAGAGGGUUGAUGUGUGGAGGAGGGGAAACAAAGACAAGGUUGCUCAGCUCAAGCCAGAGUGUGUUGUUGUGUACAAUGCAUCCAUGAAUGGGGUAGACAAGUUGGACCAAAAUAUUGCAUACUAUC